CUUCUGAAUACGGCUCAUCUGACUUGUGAAUAGUUCUAAUUGUCAUCACCAAUCAUCCAGACUUUUGUCUUGAUGCUGGACUUUGAUAACUACAAGAGAGAGGGAGACUGGACUUCCUACAAUUCUGUGUCAUCUUAAUCCAAUUCAUCCAGAAGUCAAAAGCUCUAGGAAGUAGGUGCUUCUAUCAUCCCCAAUUUACAACUGAGGAAACAAGCCAAGAGCAGCAAUUGCUUAACCCAGUAGACACCUGA
RNAcentral lists this long non-coding RNA (251 nucleotides) under Monodelphis domestica (gray short-tailed opossum). RNAcentral's name for it is "lncRNA (ENSMODG00000032870.2)". The record is from RNAcentral. Lineage: Eukaryota; Metazoa; Chordata; Mammalia; Didelphimorphia; Didelphidae.